UAGGGAAUCUUCGGCAAUGGGGGCAACCCUGACCGAGCAACGCCGCGUGAGUGAAGAAGGUUUUCGGAUCGUAAAGCUCUGUUGUAAGAGAAGAACGUGUGUGAGAGUGGAAAGUUCACACAGUGACGGUAACUUACCAGAAAGGGACGGCUAACUACGUGCCAGCAGCCGCGGUAAUACGUAGGUCCCGAGCGUUGUCCGGAUUUAUUGGGCGUAAAGCGAGCGCAGGCGGUUUAAUAAGUCUGAAGUUAAAGGCAGUGGCUUAACCAUUGUUUGCGUUGGAAACUGUUAGACUAGAGUGCAGAAGGGGAGAGUGGAAUUCCAUGUGUAGCGGUGAAAUGCGUAGAUAUAUGGAGGAACGCCGGUGGCGAAAGCGGCUCUCUGGUCUGUAACUGACGCUGAGGCUCGAAAGCGUGGGGAGCAAACAGG
RNAcentral lists this ribosomal RNA (429 nucleotides) under bacterium. RNAcentral's name for it is "partial 16S ribosomal RNA". It matches the Rfam family "Bacterial small subunit ribosomal RNA", at positions 355 to 776 of the family's 1533-position model. The record is from RNAcentral.